GGGGUAGCAUAAUAAGGAAUAAUGCGUUCCACAUGUAUUUGUGGAAAGAUGCGGGUUCGAUUCCCGCCUCCCCCA
This 75-nucleotide transfer RNA is filed under the name Pseudomonas palleroniana. RNAcentral describes it as "tRNA-Thr". It matches the Rfam family "tRNA". From Rfam's summary of the family: Transfer RNA (tRNA) molecules are approximately 80 nucleotides in length. Lineage: Bacteria; Pseudomonadati; Pseudomonadota; Gammaproteobacteria; Pseudomonadales; Pseudomonadaceae. The record is from RNAcentral. RNAcentral also lists the same sequence under 3 other names.